GGAGGCUACCGCUAUUGGAGUUCGAUUAAGCCAUGCGAGUCGCGAGAAAUUAGAUUCUCGGCGUACCGCUCAGUAACACGUGGGUAACCUGCCCUAUGCUGGAUAAUAACCUCGGGAAACUGAGUAUAAUGAUCCAUAGUUCACUACGCCUGGAACGAUGAGUGGAUGAAAGCUCCGGCGGCAUAGGAUGGGCCUGCGGCGUAUCAGGUAGUAGGGGGUGUAACGUACCCUCUAGCCCUCUACGCGUACGGGUGUUGGGAGACAUAGCCCGGAGAUGGAUUCUGAGACACGAAUCCAGACCCUACGGGGUGCAGCAGGCGCGAAAACUUGGCAAUGCGAGAAAUCGUGACCAGGGAACUCCAAGUGCAUCGGGUAAGACCGGUGCUUUUCUUGACUCUAAAUAGGUCUUGGAAUAAGGGGUGGGUAAGGACGGUGC
RNAcentral lists this ribosomal RNA (436 nucleotides) under uncultured archaeon. Its description in RNAcentral is "bacterial SSU rRNA". It matches the Rfam family "Archaeal small subunit ribosomal RNA", at positions 19 to 458 of the family's 1478-position model. The record is from RNAcentral.